GCCAGUUUCUAUAAAGGCUUCGGUGGAGGAAUUCAAGAAGGAGGUUUUGGAAGUAGGUUGGAGGGUUAGGAAAAUUUUGUAUAUGUUGUUAUAGAAAAAACGGAUUGGUUAUAGGGAGGUGGAAGUUAGUUUGUGGAACGAAUGCUUUGGCAGCAGAAAAAAUGCAGGGUAUUUGGUGAAAAUGGGCAAUUGACUAAAGCAUUCAAGAAUGGUUUGUACUUGAAGAAGCAAUGGCACAUGGAAAUAGUCAGAAGUCCAAAGUGGAAGAAAUAUGGCUUGUAUGAGAGUGAAAUAUGGAUUUAGGGUUAUAGUUGGAAUUUGGUUUAUUAUUGUAAUGAAACAAUAGAAAUUGAAUUUAUGGUUAUGAACUUAAAAUGAUUGUAAUUUUGUAAUCUUGAAUGGUAAUGGUAUGGAAGAUGUAAUGGUUGUAAUGUAAGUUGUUGGAAUUCAAAUGAUAUGGUUUAUGUAUGGAAUGGUCAAUAUUGAAAUGAUGUAUUUAUGAA
This is a long non-coding RNA of Lathyrus oleraceus (garden pea), 503 nucleotides long. RefSeq lists it as uncharacterized. The transcript is spliced from 2 exons. NCBI's taxonomy places the organism in Eukaryota, Viridiplantae, Streptophyta, Magnoliopsida, Fabales, Fabaceae. The record is from RefSeq and is a predicted model, not a curated record.